UGUCUUACGUAUGUACUUGUUAAGCCUUUAAGAGAAAAGUUUACAACUUAAGGAAUUAUAACAAAGAAGUAACACAUAAUAAGUUUACCUUAUUUAGUGUGUAUCAAUCGAGUUUCUGACCUAUCAGCUUUUGAUGUUAGGGUAUUGGCCUAACAUGGCUAUGACGGGUAACGGGGAAUUAGAGUUCGAUUCCGGAGAGGGAGCCUGAGAAAUAGCUACCACAUCUAAGGAAGGCAGCAGGCGCGUAAAUUACCCAAUUCUAAAGAAGAGAGGUAGUGACAAGAAAUAACAAUACAAGGCCAUUUCAUGGUUUUGUAAUUGGAAUGAUGGGAAUUUAAAACCUUCCCAAAAUUCAAUUGGAGGGCAAGUCUGGUGCCAGCAGCCGCGGUAAUUCCAGCUCCAAUAGCGUAUAUUAAAAUUGUUGCAGUUAAAACGCUCGUAGUUGAAUUUCAAAGAAUCAAUAUUUUAAGUAAUGCUUUUGGUUUAAGAUGCUUAGACAAUACAACGUAUCUGCUCUUUGCAUUCCUUAUCCAAAAUGUGUUCUUAUUAUAAAAAGGAUUCUUUUUAAAAUCUCCUUUACUUUUUGUACUGGAGAUUUUGUUACUUUGAGUAAAUUAGAGUGUUCAAAGCAAACAGUUAAAGCAUUUUACUGCGUUUGAAUACUACAGCAUGGAAUAACAAAAUUGAACAAGUCAAAAUUCUGUUCCUUUUUCUUAUUUUGGCU
Molecule: ribosomal RNA, 724 nt
Filed under: Plasmodium ovale (malaria parasite P. ovale)
Lineage: Eukaryota; Apicomplexa; Aconoidasida; Haemosporida; Plasmodiidae
Description: SSU rRNA
Rfam family: Eukaryotic small subunit ribosomal RNA
Source: RNAcentral